CCGAAAUCUGCGCCGGAACCAAGCGGCAUCCAAUAUUGGUCACAGCCGUGCUCCACGCCACGGACCGUAAACCCCUGAACGGGUGCCAGCAGUAGCUUUUUAUUGGCAUCAGCUACUGCUGUAAACCAGCAGUUCAGGAGAUUGUUGUCCGUGGCGGCGAGCACGGCUGUGACAAAUGUUGGAUGCCGCUUGGUUCCGGCGCAGAUUUCGG
Ectocarpus siliculosus is the source of this 211-nucleotide non-coding RNA. The record is from Rfam. NCBI's taxonomy places the organism in Eukaryota, Phaeophyceae, Ectocarpales, Ectocarpaceae.